CUCCGGAAGAGGGUUUAAUGUUCCCGGUUAGUGAUAAUCACGUCGAACUCAAACGGAAACACACAUUUUCGUCACAGAGUUGUUUGUUUUCCGUUAAACGGCGUGAAAGAUGCCGGAGACGAGUCAGGACCCGAUCUCACUCACAGAUCCGAUCGAUCAGUUACCUCUCCGGCUACUACGAUCGGAGAUCGUCCCGCCGGCUCCGUCUCGAUCCAACUCUUCAAUCGACUGGCUCUCCGACUUCGCCGGCUACUCAUGGCUUGCUUACGGAGCUUCCUCUCUCCUCGUCAUCUCCCACCUCCCUUCCCCUCUCCGCGGCGAAGACUCUGCCAACGGACCGCUUUUCCGUCAGAUUCUCGAGGUUUCCGGCGACGUUUCGUCUCCAGUUACCGCCGUUUCGUGGUCUCCUGUUACGCCGUCUGUAGGCGAGCUCGCGGUUGGGUCUGGGAGCUACGUUCGCCUCUUCGCGCGUGAUCUUAGCGAUCUGAACGGUUCAUUUUGUUGGAGUCAGAGUGCUGUAUUGCUGCAAGAAACAAAAGUUGAAGCGAUUGAGUGGACUGGAUCCGGGGAUGGGAUGAUAGUUGGUGGAACUGAUAUUGUUUUGUGGAAGAGAAGGAACCAAUCCUGGGAAAUAGCUUGGAAGUUCCCAGGGGAUUACCUUCAAGAUCUGGUUUCCUCCACCUGGUCAAUCGAGGGUCCUUUUGCGUCGGCAGCUUCUUGGAGCAAGUUUCCGUCGGAGUGUGAUGAGGCAGGUAGAGGUGUCUUGGCCUAUUACAGUGACGGGGAGAUAUAUCGUAAAGUUGAAUUGCCUCAUCCUCAGAGGAUAUCCACGAUUCAGUGGAGACCGGUGGCUGCAGAGCAGUCUGUAGAAUGCGCGGGGAAAUCAGUGAGGAAUGUGCUGAUGACGUGUUGUUUGGAUGGGGCUGUAAGGUUAUGGUGUGAGGUAGAUGGUGGAAAGGCUAAAAAGGGCUUGAAAGAUGUCCAUGGGCAUAAAAAGUCGUUUUGCGUGGCAGCUGUGAUAGAGAUAAAUCAGGUUUUGGAUGGUUGUUUGGGAAGAGAUUUGUUUGUUUUUUGGGGAACUCGGUCAGGGGGUAUAUUGAAAACCAUUGAAGGUACUAAUCAAUUGUUUACUACUGAGAAGUAUGAUCAUGAGAAUGUUGGCAACUGUGAGUGGUUAGUAGGGCAAGGCCCUGGGAAAUCGGCUUCUUUGUGGGCUGUCCAUUGUCUGGAUGACAUCUCUCCUAUGAGGUUUCCGAGGAUUACAUUGUGGGCGAGACAAGAAACAAAUGGAACUGCUCUGGAACCACUCUCUAUAACUGAUGCUACUGGUUUUUCUGAUCGAUUACCCCUUAAGAAAGUUUAUGUAUUGAGAAAUAACCUUUAUGGCACGCCAGAUAUCUGCUCUUCCAUUUAUUUAUCUUCACGCAAUACCAUAUGUUGGUCCUCCUUGCACACAGUAAAAUCACAUGCCUUAGAAGAUUCACCUCCAGAUAAAUCCAGCGUAUUGCAGUGCAUCACGGAAAAAGUAUUAGAUCUUGAUGGUCAUGGUGGGAAAAUCCUACAGGUUGCCUUUACUCCUAUCAUAAGUGAGGCGGGAUACACUGCUUCUCUGGAUUAUAAUGGUUUGAUAAUAAUCUGGUCCUCUUGUGAUUAUUUGAACCGUGCUAUUGACCAUCCUAUAUCAGUUUCUUCCUGGAAACAUUGUGGACGGCUUCAAAAUCAAGAGUUAAGAUUGAAGUACACGAGUAUAUGCUGGGCACCUUCAUCAUUGAAUGAUGAGAGCUUUCUACUUGCGGGACAUGUACAAGGCAUUGAUUGUUAUAGUGUGAGGAAAGGCGGGAGCGGUUAUGGUGGUUUUCUUACCCAUUACAUAUGUACCAUACCGUUAGCAGUUAGCCAGCCUUUUGAGGAUGGUCCGACCAGCAUAUUUGCAAGACCUCUUCCAGAUUCUUGUGGAAAGACAUUCAAAACUAACAGUUUUUUGCUUCUAAGUGUAUGGAUGAAAGAUAAACGGUUUGAUGCUCUGUCAUGGAAAGUGACCCUGCAUCAUUUUGAUGCAGCAGGAAGCACCUGCGACUGUCAUUUUCAUGAUUUUGAUAGCAUGGAAUCGGGCAAGUGGUUGUUCGAAGAUACUUUUGCUGGUAAGAAAAAUUGCAUUGCUGUUAGAUCAUGCUCUUCAGAAUUACCUGAAUCUCAUCGUUAUGAUGAAGUAACUAGUUUUGCUGUGGUCAAUCCGAGCGGCAGGGCCCUAGAGAAGGACAUGAACAUUGAAAGUCAAGCUUAUACUAUGGCAACUGGUCAUGAUAAUGGCUCUUUAAAACUGUGGAGAAGUAGCCUUCAGGAAAGUUCAACACCUUCCAUUAUGUGGGAGCUUGUUGGCAUGCUUACCAUUGGCAAAAGUCCUGUCAGUGCUAUAUCUCUAACUGAGUCGGGACACAAGAUCGCAGCCCUCUGCACAGAGAAUCAUUCAAAAGCUGUUCGAACAAUUAGCGUAUGGGAGAUUGUACACCUUCUCGAUUCAGGGGUUUUCAUACUAGAGGAUAAGUUACAUGUUGAUGCAGAGGUUGUUGCUGUAAGAUGGUCAACUGUGGGAAAUGAUCAGCUAAUUCUUGGAGUUUGCACACAGAAUGAGAUGCGGGUAUAUGGUAUUGCUCGGCAACCCUGCAGAAGUACCAGUUUCGCUGUCUCUGAUUAUUCUUCAGAGACACAAAUUUGGCAAUGCUUCGCUGUUACUCGUACAUUUUCUGCUAUUCAUGAUUUAUGGUGGGGAUCCAAAGCCAUGACUGCACUGGCUCAUAAUGAUUAUGUUAGCCUACAUGGUCAAUGGCUGGCCGUUACUGACAAGAAGCAAAAGACUGAUAACAAUCCAGAAAUUUUUGCAGCCAAUCUUCCGAAACUAGUGAAUACUACAGAAGGCAGAGACUCUGAAUUGUUAUCUAAUAGUAUGCCUUUAACUGCGACCGCAUAUGGUUCAGAUACUCUUAAGGACACGACAAGCAUGUUGCAUAUUGUGGAAAAGUUAGGAGGCGCCUUGCCACUCUAUCAUCCUCAUGCCCUCCUUGUCGCUAUACGUUCAGGCAACUGGAAACGAGCAAGCGCAGCUUUAAGGCAUCUUGCUGAGAAUAUUACUUCAGGUGAUGCCUCCGUGAAGGAUCACGGUGUAAAGUCAGAUCUUUGUCAGGAUAUCCUUUUGUCAAAAUAUUAUGAAGGGUCUGUCUCCAAUGGCCCAAAUCGUAAGGAUUUCCAUUGGGGUGGGACAUCUGGUUCAAUGCUACAGAAUUCUCAGUUUCAGGCAGGGUUGCAGUCAAAUUUCAGUAUGGAUUCUUAUAGUCCCAAUGGUAGUCACAGUUCUCCUGCAACAGACUUGGAAUUUACUGGCUUCUGCGAGCAGCUGGAGAAGUUAUCAGAUGAAGGAAAUAUUUCCAGGACAGAAAAGAUACAAUACUUUGCAAUUGUUGAUCUUCUUCGUGAAAUUGGUAAUCCACAUUCGACUUCUGUCUAUGCAAGUCUUGAUGAAGCUGGGAGAAGAUUUUGGAUCACACUUAGGUUUAAGCAGCUGUACUUAGCUCGAAGUUCUGGCAAACCAGCAUCUGUAGAAGAGUUGGAUAUUGACUCUAGUAUGAUAGGAUGUGCUUUUCACUCAGAGUCUCAAGAAAAUCUGUCUGGUUCUCUUUUACCCAUUGAAUCAUCAUGGCAACAAAUGCGCUCACUGGGUUUUGGAUUUUGGUGUUCAGAUGUAGCACAGUUGCGGCCACGAAUGGAGAAACUGGCCCGGCAGCAAUACCUGAAGAACAAGAAACCUAAAGAUUGUGCGCUUCUCUAUAUAGCUUUAAAUAGAAUUCAAGUUUUGGCUGGUCUUUUUAAAAUAAGCAAGGAUGAGAAAGAUAAACCCUUGGUGGGUUUUCUUUCACGCAAUUUUCAGGAAGAGAAAAAUAAGGCAGCAGCCUUGAAAAAUGCGUAUGUGCUAAUGGGUAAACACCAACUGGAGCUGGCUAUAGGUUUCUUUCUCCUUGGAGGUGAAGCUUCAUCGGCGAUAAAUGUCUGUGUGAAAAAUCUUCAAGAUGAGCAGCUUGCGCUCGUAAUUUGCCGGCUUGUUGAUGGGCAGGGUGGGGCACUGGAAAGUAAUCUUAUAAAUAAAUACAUACUCCCAUCUGCUGUUCGGAGAGGAGACUUUUGGCUGGCAAGCAUACUUAAGUGGGAAUUAGGAGAGUAUCAUCAGUCAAUUCUUGCUAUGGCUGGAAGUCUAGAGAACCCUGCUAAUGGGAGCUCUACUGUUACUUCAAAUCACAUCUCUUUUGUGGAUCCUAGUAUUGGAUUAUACUGUCUCAUGUUGACUACAAAAAAUAGUCUGAAGAAUGCAGUGGGGGAAAGAAAUGCUUCAAACCUUAGUAGAUGGGCAACCUUGAUGACUGCUACCGCCUUCAGCAGAUGUGGGCUUCCGCUCGAGGCGUUAGAAUGUCUUUCAGCAUCUGCCAGCGGUCAUGGUGGUACGCAUCAGGCUAGCGGUCAAAGUAAUGGACAUUUGGGUACUCCACGUGGUGUUCUUGAGCUUUCUGAUCCUAAUUCUAAUUGGGUAUCAAGCGGUGUUUCAUCUACUGUGGACACUCGUUUUAAACUGAGUCUAGCCGCCCAUUCCCUCUCAAAGCUAUUAAGGGAAGCAACUGCACUAUUAAGGAGUUCUGAAAUUGUUUUGUGUGAGAAACUCUCUGGAUUUCAACAUAAGCUACAAACAUCUUUGGAGCUAUUUUACCAGAGGUUUUCUUUAUCUUCAUCUUUCCUACGUAAUACGAUGAUUAUGUCAGCAUACAACAGUGGGUUACUACUAUCCAUGGGAUACAAUGUAUUUCAGGAAAAUAGUUCCUCAGGACGCUCACUAAAUAAGUCCCAGACAAAUGAAGAUCUCCUCCAAUAUUCAGCUUUGUGUAAAUUGAUUCUAAAAGCGACCGAAGAGAACUCGUUUAUAUUGUCACGUAUCAUUGCUGCAUGCAGUGUCACUUGCUUUCACUCAGUGCCAUGCUUAGAGGAAAACAAGGUGUCAUCUGGACCUGAGCCAAAGUUGUCUAAUGCUUUACGAUUUUACUUUCAGGGCAUUCUGCAAUCCUUCUCUAGUUUUGAAACUACUAUAAGGCUGUGCUUGAACUCCUCUUUGGAAGACCUGAAAACAAGACUCGCCGUUGUUCUUGAUUUAGUCGAAUAUUGCUCAAGACUCGCAAUGGCUUGGAUCCUAGGGGAUGUAGACUGUCUCUUUCGAAUGGUGCAGCCUUUGACGAUAUCAUAUUUUCAUGGACAUAUGCCUUACGAGGUCGACCUGGAAAGCCUGAAGAGAGUGUACCACCAAGAAGUUUCUGUUAGUGUUCCAGAUGCGUCAGAUGCAGGACUUAAUUCUAUUGUUGAGAACAACGAAGUUGGAUACCCAGUGAGCUCAAUUCCAGGAGAUGAAAGGCGUCUUGUAACACAAGCAUGUUUCUGGAGGCAUGUUUCGGACUUUGUGAAACAUAAGAUGGUAUCGACUUCGAUUGAUCUAGAUGAUGGUAUCUCGAAUAGUGAAUCCUCAGAGAAAUUUGAUGCUCAGACAUCGUUCGAUUCUAGUGGUGACAUUGUAUGUGUAACUGAGAAGAUCAUGUCCGUUCUGGGAAAAACACUGGUUAGCACCAUAGCUCAACUGUCUUCCUACCAUGUAAAACAACUUGUACUGUCCUUGAAACAGAAAUUAGAGAAGAGAAUUCAGGUUCCUACCUUGUUAUGGUUGCACGGAUGUCGGGAAUCUCAGGCAAAUUUUAUUAAUCGAGCUAUCCCAGAUUCAAGUACAGAGAAUGAAGACAACAGCGACCUUGCAGUUUCUGUGAGGUUUUGGACACUUUGCGUUGAUCCUCAUUUAGUACUCGAAGCUUUCUUGCUAGAAAAUUUUGACAUAUCUGAAUGGUCAAAACUUAAACCAUUGGAAGAUUGGAGCAAUAUGUACAGAGAAAUAAAGGGGAAGAAUGAGCUCAAUGUGCCAUGCAAUCAAGAUGAUCUGAGUAGUAAUGAAGUGGCUUCACUUGCAAACCACGCUUCUAAUUCUUCGCAGAAAGCUGCAACUGCCAGUGAAAAUUCUGCUUUCCAGGACCCCAAAGAAAUCCAUAAGAGGACCGGGGAGCUUAUACAGGCCAUUUGUAUCAAUGCCAUCAACCAUCGGCAAGCUGCACUAGCUAGCAACCGCAAGGGUAUAAUUUUCUUUAACCAAGAAGAUGGUGGUCCUUGCUAUGAUCAGUCAAACUAUAUUUGGUCAGAUGCUGAUUGGCCACGUAAUGGUUGGGCUAACUCUGAGUCAACCCCUGUUCCAACAUGUGUCUCACUCGGUGUUGGUCUUGGGGACAAAAAAGGAGCACACCUUGGGUUAGGUGGGGCCACUGUUGGUGAUUUUUCUCUUUCCAAGCCAUGGAAAUCUCACAGGGUUCCGGCUUACACUGGGUUAGGAGUCUCUGGUCUAGGUUGGCAAACUCAAGAAGAUUUUGAGCAGUUUAUUGAUCCUCCCCCAACAGUUGAAACUGUUAUUGCAAGCGCAUUCUCUAGUCACCCAACAAUGCCUCUCUUCUUGGUUGGCUCAAGCAACACUCACAUUUACUUGUGGGAGUUUGGAAAAGACAGAGCUACUGCAACUUACGGUGUCCUGCCUGCUGCAAAUGUUCCUCCUCCAUAUGCUUUGGCGUCAAUAUCAGCAGUUCAAAUCGGUCCAUGCGGACACAGAUUUGCUAGCGCUGCACUUGAUGGAACGGUAUGCACCUGGCAAUCAGAAGUUGGAGGAAGAAGCAAUGUCUAUCCUGUUGAGUCAUCUAUUUGCUUCAAUGGCUUUGCAUCAGAUGUGAAAUAUAUUAGUUCGAGUGGAUCUAUAGUUGCAGCUUCAGGAUAUAGCUCAAGUGGUGCCAACGUAGUUGUAUGGGAUACUCUAGCUCCCCCUUCAACCUCCCAGGCAUCUAUCAGUUGUCAUGAAGGUGGUGCACGCUCAAUCUCGGUGUUUGAUAAUGACAUUGGUAGUGGCUCGAUUUCUCCAAUGAUUGUAACUGGUGGCAAAAACGGUGAUGUUGGAUUGCACGAUUUCCGGUAUAUCGCAACCGGUAAGAUGAAGAAGCAGAGGAACGCUGACGGAAGAUCUUCUACUGACGGAGAUCAGAACAAGAAUGGGAUGCUUUGGUAUAUACCAAAGGCUCACUUAGGGAGUGUGACCAAGAUAUCGACAAUACCACGGACAAGUCUGUUCUUGACAGGAAGCAAAGACGGAGAUGUGAAACUUUGGGAUGCAAAAGCAGCAAAGAUGAUUCAUCACUGGCCUAAACUACACGAAAGGCACACUUUCCUUCAACCAAACUCUAGAGGCUACGGUGGAAUCAUCCGCGCUGGGGUGACAGACAUACAAGUUUGUCCGAAUGGAUUCAUCACUUGUGGUGGUGAUGGCACUGUGAAGGUCGUCAGCCUCAGAAAUUCCUAACUGCUAUUGCCGGAAAACGAGCUUAGCCUUGAAUGUUUCUAUUGAAUACGUGAUUUCUUCUCAAAAGUGUGUACAUGUCGAGUUUUAAGUUUUGUUUUUGUUCAGCAAGCAUAUAAAAAUCCAGGUUCAACCAAUAAUACUUUUUGAUUGAUGUUGAGUGCGGAUUCAGUUUUGUAGAAAUGUUUUUUAAACAUUUUUAUAGACUAGAAUAAAACCAAAUAAGCCUGAAUAAAUAUUUUAUAAGCUCAUAUUUUGUAAAUAAGUACUUGUCCAACAGUUUAAUAAGAUUAUGAAAUCCCUGGCGACCA
This is an RNA transcript of Brassica napus (rape), 7773 nucleotides long. RefSeq lists it as uncharacterized. The record is from RefSeq and is a predicted model, not a curated record. Lineage: Eukaryota; Viridiplantae; Streptophyta; Magnoliopsida; Brassicales; Brassicaceae. The transcript has 17 exons.